GAUAAUUUAAAAAAAAAAAUCGCAAUAAAACAACUUGCUUGUUUGAACCAAAUGGACAUUUUACACUUAGCAAACUAAUUCCGGAAAAAAAAUGUAAAAUAAGCCUCAUUCUAGUAUGGGCCGUAGACCGGCCCACAUUUGUAUAAUGCGAAAAAAAAGUUUUCAAAAUUCACGGGAAACCCUCUAGAAUCAUGCCUUUGGAUGAGAAGAACAAUCUGUGAAAGAUUCAGCCCAAUCGGUUGAAAACUGAGCUGGCGACAUUGUUCUAUUUUUCAAAAGUACCAUUAAUGUUCCUCCAAAAUAAUUGAAAUAUCAUUGAAAUUGAAAUAUGUUUUUCAUAUAGUGAAAUUCUUAUAAUUUCGAAACAACGGCAGAUAAAGUAUUACGAGUGUUUGAGUGUGUCUACCAGAAAAAAAAGGGUAUUGUUACAUUAUCUACAUGUAUACGGAGAUUAAGCAAUGGAUGAAGUAUUUUAUUUUUGAUCAGAAUUUACUUAAAAUAGCAAUUUUAAGUCGAAUCGGGGCGACAUGAACACUGGCAAUUACGAAUGGAUGUACGCGCAUUGCAUACUGUUAGGCGUUUUCGAGAGUUUGGAAAAAAAUCAAUUCAAUUGGCUUCUUUAGCGGUGUUGAGAUAGUUCCAUAUUCUGAAUCUGCAUGCCAAACUGAGCCGAAAUCCAAAUUUUCAUGAAUUUUGGUGCCCGGGAACCUAUUUAAAAAUCGAUUUAAAGUUUGUAUGGGAGUGAUUUGUCGAAUCACCCCUCAUCGCAUUUUGUACUGGGCGGAGCUGUCAAACAGUUGCCCAGCUGUCAAAAGGUGAUUUCAAAAAAUCUCUUUGUAAUUGAAUUUAGAUAUCAAAAUAAAGUUCUAAAAAUCUGAAAAAAGUCAUACUGGCUUAGAAAAAGGUGUUCUUUCGUAUAAAAUCAAAAAAUCAAUACAUUGUUCUAAAUUUAAAAACCCAAUUAUGUUAGCCUAAAGCAGUGAAGAGAAUUGUCAGACAAAAGAGACACAAAAAAAGUAACAAAGAAGGCGCAGCGAUUACUCUUCAUCCCAACUGGUAACAGAUAAUGACAUGAUCCCGAAAAAUUUUGUUGCAGACAAAACUGUGAGAUAUAUGUAAGAUGUACUGAAUAAAGCUGUGAUAAAGAUAAUGAUCACAGCAGGCGAUAUAGCGCAUUUGAAUGUGAUGCGAACUGUCAAGCAGACAAUGUUAGCAUCCCUGCUUGCGCAGCAACAAUUCCAGGCGUCACCCAACCGCGUUCACUCUUGCCACUUGCGAACCAACGUCAGCCUGGGUAAGUUGUGUGUGCUGCACGUGAGGGGUGAUUCCUUCCCAGAGAAAUCCUGGGAGGAAUCACUCUUCAAUUUGCAUGCGAAAGUGAGAAAAUUACGACAACACAAAAAAAAAAGUGAAAAAUGUGGUGUGAUAUUCAUCGUGGGCUCCGGAUGGUGCAUGCUUCCGGAUGAUUUUUUGUGCUUGGACAAUUAUUAAGGAAGAAAUAAAACACGAGCAAAAUAAACCAGCAGCAGUAACUGGUAAGGAAAAGCUAUAGUGAUUCUGUUAUUUUGUGCUUACAGCGUGUUGUUUGCCGUGGGGGAAAACCUCCGGCAAUGUCCGCUGCCGAAAAGCAAGGUUAUAAAGAUCCUGUUGUUUUGCAUCGUGCAAAUGUCGGAUCGAAUGCUUACAGGGUGUUGUUUGCCGUGGGGGAAAACCCCCGGCAAUGUCCGCUGCCGAAAAGCAAGGUUAUAAAGAUCCUGUUGUUUUGCAUCGUGCAAAUGUCGGAUCGAAUGCUUACAGCGUGUUGUUUGCCGUGGAAGAAGAAUGCCGACAAUGUCCGCUGACGAAAAGCUAGGUUAGAAAAAUCCCGUUGUUUUGCUUCGCGCAAAUGUCGAAUCUGAAGCUUACAUCGUGUUGUUUGUCGUGGCCGAUAAAUCUUAGCAAUGUACGGAAAAAAAUAUUAGAAAAAUCCCGUAGUUUUGAUUCGUGCAAAUGUGGGAUCGAAUGGUUACAAUAUAUCGUUUAUCAAAAGGUGUCGUCAAUGUCGGCUAGCCAAAAGAAGGAUUAUGUUGAUGCAGUUUGUUUUCUGUGGCUAGUGUUUCAAUGAAUGACAAUGCUUUAUUCUCUUUAUCUAUAGAUAGAUGUAUAGAUUAUAUAUGAUGUAUUUUAUCAGAUAUCUCGAAUUUAAACGACGGAGAAAUGGGAUAAAUUCGGGUAUAAGAUUGAAUAAAGACUCAAAGAGCCAGAUUUUUUUUUCAGUAUCGCCAAAGCGGUAAUUAUUUUAAAUAUUACAAGUAUAGAGGCUUGCAUUACAAAAAAAACUUCAACAAAAUCACAUAUGAUUUUUAAGCAUUGCCCUCAAAACUAUUUUGAGAGCAAGAACGGCUGUAUCAAGCGACCCCGAACGAGAGAGAAAAAAAGAGAGAUAAUGAUGACGUCAUUGUGCAAGCUACCAUUACACAAUGGGUCCAGAGCCGUAUUUACGAAGACAAAAAUGUUUGUGCCUUAACCAUAAGUUUUAGGUACAUGGUGUCUUUGGGAAAGUUUCUUCUUAUUUUUCAACUUUUUUUCUCAUUAUUGUAAAAUUAGGGUGGUCCCUCUAGUUUCGCUGAUCCAAACAUCUGCCUCUUAAUAGUUUUAUGUACGUUCACAAAAUGUUCUGCAAAGUUGUAAAAGAACUUAUUUGGAGCAAGUUUGCCGAAGAAACCAUUAUUCCAUCUCUUAUGGUUCCUAACUUCUAUUUUUUAAAAAGAUUCAUGUUAGGGUGAUCCAUGAAUUUCAGUUUUCCUGAAAUAACUUUUAAUUCGUUCGUUUCUCGUAAAUACUUUGUUCCGAGCACUUUGAGAACUAUCAGCGACGCAUAUUUUUUCCAAAGAGCUCAAAGUUCUAACUCGCGUAGUUAAAAAGAUAUUGGCAUUUUUCUUCGAAAAAUAACUUUUUUUUAAAAAGCCAUCUCUCAGAAAGGAGCAAAUGGAUUUUCAAUCUCCCGGUUGCAUUGGAAAGAUCGUACUCUGUUCUAUUUAUGGUGCAAAAACUGCAGGUACCUUUUUUGUUUAAAGCUUUUUAUUGAAUUUGGAAAAUACGAUUUUUUUUAUGGAAAAGCAGUUGUAAUUUUGAAAAUCGAUGAGAUACAAACUUGGCGUCUUCGACAAAAUUGUGAGUUUUUGGCUGCUAUAAAAAGGCCCAGAACAAAGUGUUGCGAAAAAAUCAACACAUAAAAUUAUAUUGAGUAAAAACAGAUUUUCAUAUGAAAAAAUGACACAUUUCAAGCAAAUUCAACUCGUCUUUGUUAGAUAGAUCUAAGUAGCUUGGUAAAUGGUCAUCCAUUUCAUUAUAGAACCAAUGUUUAUUUAUACUGUCAUUACCAUUUAGGCUCAAUGUUGAUAAGAUAUUGUAAAUCAUAUAACUUUGAUAGGCUUUUACGUUAACAUGAAAACGUUGCUGAAAUUGUUCCGCUUUCCAUAUGAAAAUCGGUUUUUAUUCAAUAUAAUUUUAUGUGUUGAUUUUUUCGCAAUACUUUGUUCUGGGCACUUUUAGAGCAGCCAAUAACUCACAAUUUUGUCGAAGACGCCAAGUUUGUAUCUCAUCGAUUUUCAAAGUUACAACUGCAUUACCAUGAAAAAAAUCGUAUUUUCAAAAUUCAAUAAAAAGCUUUAAACAAAAAAGGUACCUGCAGUUUUUUCACCAUAAAUAGAACAGAGUACGAUCUUUCCAAUGCAACCGGGAGAUUGAAAAUCCAUUUGCUCCUUUUUGAGAUAU
This is a long non-coding RNA of Aedes albopictus (Asian tiger mosquito), 3756 nucleotides long. RefSeq lists it as uncharacterized. The record is from RefSeq and is a predicted model, not a curated record. The transcript is spliced from 2 exons. NCBI's taxonomy places the organism in Eukaryota, Metazoa, Arthropoda, Insecta, Diptera, Culicidae.